Molecule: ribosomal RNA, 549 nt
Filed under: uncultured archaeon
Lineage: Archaea
Description: bacterial SSU rRNA
Rfam family: Archaeal small subunit ribosomal RNA
Source: RNAcentral
CGGGGUGCAGCAGGCGCGAAAACUNUGCAAUGCGGGAAACCGUGACAAGGGAACUCUGAGUGCCCGUUAAAUCGGGCUGUCCAUCGGUUUAAAUAACCGGUGAAGAAAGGGCCGGGCAAGACCGGUGCCAGCCGCCGCGGUAAUACCGGCGGCUCGAGUGGUGGCCACUAUUACUGGGCUUAAAGCGUUCGUAGCUGGUUUGUUAAGUCUCUGGGGAAAUCUUCCGGCUUAACCGGAAGGCGUCUCAGGGAUACUGGCAGACUAGGGACCGGGAGAGGUGAGAGGUACUCCAGGGGUAGGAGUGAAAUCCUGUAAUCCUUGGGGGACCACCUGUGGCGAAGGCGUCUCACCAGAACGGCUCCGACAGUGAGGGACGAAAGCUGGGGGAGCAAACCGGAUUAGAUACCCGGGUAGUCCCAGCUGUAAACGAUGCGCGUUAGGUGUAUCGGUGACCACGAGUCACCGAGGUGCCGAAGAGAAAUCGUGAAACGUGCCGCCUGGGAAGUACGGUCGCAAGGCUGAAACUUAAAGGAAUUGGCGGGGGAGCAC